This 12325-nucleotide long non-coding RNA is filed under the name Coffea arabica (coffee). Its description in RNAcentral is "long non-coding RNA (CARA_LNC007556)". Lineage: Eukaryota; Viridiplantae; Streptophyta; Magnoliopsida; Gentianales; Rubiaceae. The record is from RNAcentral.
UUUUUUUUUUUUUUUUUUUUGUGUUUGCUGAUUCUGUUUAGUUCAGCUAAUCUUACUUGAAAGCCAAGGCACAUUGAAGAAAGAAGAAAGAAAGAAAAUUAUACACAAAUAUUACAGCACAAAAACAUUUUAGGCAUCAAGCCAUCAUUUUAUUUAUAAAUAUUCAUUGUAAUUAGUAUAUCAAACACACAAUCACAGCCACAACAAAUUUAAUAAAGCUCUCUCACCAAGCUUAUAACAUGACAUACAUAACCUUAACAAGCUUUUGUUUCAUACUCACACCAUUCUAUCUCUUAUUAUUAUUCAACUACUGAAAUAACCAUGCAUGUUCAUGCCUUGACAAGUGAAGCAUCCACGUCUUUUCCAGCAUGAAUCAGCCAGUGGAGGUACUUAGUUGGAGCAGGCUCAUUCUCAUUGAUAUUCUCAUACUCAAUUGUCCAUUUGGCAUAGUUGGACUGGCCUUUUGGAAUAACUUGUAAGCUAGCCUUGUAGCUCUUUAAUUGUUCCAAAAUGUGUCCUCCAACUGCUUCUGCAGUGACAGUCUUGUUCUCUUCAUCCACCGUAAGCCUUUCUUUCAGAGUCUCAACUUUUCCAUCUGGGCAGUAAAAUAUUUAUCAAAUUAAUCCAUUAUUAUAGGGAUAUUCUACCAAAUUGGUGGCAGAAAAACAUGAAGUUAUGAUGCAUAUCAUCUUGAAAUUCCCAGGAAAAUCACCAUAAUAUCAAACUGUUCUACAGUAAAUUUUAAAAAAAAAAAAUCAUGCAACUCUAAUUUGUAACUAUCAAUCUUACAGAGUAUAGAGUUGGUUUUUGUUACCUAUUGCAUAAGUCCAGAGCUUGACAGAGCCCUUAGUUUUCCAGUCACCUUGAUGAACCUUAACACCAUGAACUUUGUCGGAGCAAAGAUUUGGAAGUUUGUGUGCUUUACCACCAAAGCUCUGGAAGAACUCAUCAGGAUCAGACUUAAUCUUUAUCUCAGCUUCUAACUUUCCAGCUAGAAUUGGACUAGCCAUAAUUGGUUGUAGUAAUGCUGAAAAAUCGCUGUGCACCUUUUCCUAGUAAAUGCUCUACCAACUAAACUGGCUGAACCAUGAUUUAUAGAAUCAAAUUUUCAUUUCACAGUAGCUUUUAGAUUAUUACGUAGAUUAAGUCAACAUUUUGUGCGAAACUGUUUAGCAUAGAUGGUUAAUUGAGUGAAUGCAAAACUUUUUGAUGACAAAGCAUGUUCUAUUUGCAGUAACAAACUUGAUAGUUUUAUUAGAGAGGUAAAAAAUGUCAUACCAUUUAUUCACGUGGUAAGUAGACGAAAAAAGGAUUUUUUUUUUCCAAACUUUAUAAUGUUUUUGGGAUGAUUGAAAAGGGAAAUCAGAGUAUGUUGACAAAUUGUUUUUUUUUUUCCUUUUUUAAUAGGUAGUCACGCGUAUUGUUACAAGAAUGGAAAUGAAAAAAAAUUAUUUUGGCCCUUCAAAUCAAGAAAUUGUACAUUUGUCCGCUUCAUGAAUGGUGAAGCACAUCAGAAAGUCAUCUUUUUUUUUAUUCUUUUUUCUUUCUUUGUUCGAUACUCAACAACACCAUGGAUACGCUCAGCAAAAGUCGCAAACGCCAAAAUCUUGAUGAAAGCAGCUCUUCAGCCAUCAUCAUGUUGAAAAUACUGCAAAACAGUAGUGAAGGGCAUUGCAUUCAUGUAUCAAUAAGGCUACUUCUAAGACAAGAGAAAAGGAUUUGAAUAUUUUCUUUUUAGCUGCACCAAUCUAAUUGUUUGCUAAUUUUGGGCAAUUGACUAGGAUGAUCUUCUCAUCUGCAUUAUCUGCAUUUGAUAAUUGAUAUAGGUAAUUAUCUGCCAACGAAUAAAACAAUUACACGGUUUAAAAAGGGAACCUAAUUGGUACAAAUUGAGAUAGUUACGUUGACAACUACAUUGUGGCAUUGGAGAGAGGGUUGAAUUAGAUGAUAAGUUAAGAGAGAUUGUAAGUAAGAGGUUUAGGGUUAAAGACCUCCCACUUACAAGCCAAAAAAAAAAGCUUCAAGGUGGCAUAAAGUGACUAAAAUGAAAGUUCAAUUUAAAAAGUGAGAACUAAUGCCAUAAUACAGAGUAACAACUUCAAAGUGGCGGUUGCUAAUAAUUGUCAACAUAUACAUGCAAUAUUUAUUGAAACCGAGGACCAAUUGGCAUGUACAGGGAUAAAGAUCUUACUAAUCAAUUGAUCCAUCUGAUUCGAUUACAUUCUUUAUCUUUAUCUUUUUCUUUUCAGAGAAUUGGAAUUUUCUUGCUGUAAAUCUUUUUACUGCAGCAGAUAUCUAGAUGCUCCCCUACAAGCAUAUAUAUUAACCCUUGAACUAGCCAGUCCAGGUUUUUUGUUGGACUAGGCUUAUUGUCGUUCAGUUUUUCAUGGUCAAUCGUACAUUUGGCAAAGCUGGAGUCACCUCUGGAGAUAACUUGUAACGUUGCUUUAUAGUUCUUGUAGUGCUUCAUACAAUCUCCAUCUAUUGCCUCAGCAGCAGUGGUCUUGUUCUCCUCGUCAAUUUUGAGCCUCUCUUUGUAUACCUCAACUUUUCCAUCUAUAUUUGCAUCACAAAGAAAUUCAUCAGUGGCUUUUCUUAACACUGAAUAAUGUUUCACUCUUAAUUUGUUGUUUCCUAUAUUAUCUAGCUUUAGGCUCAAUUUGCCACAUUUUGGGAAAAACGAAUUUAACAAGAAAAUGUAAUGGAGAAAAGUAUCAAUUAUUAAAAACUAUUGAUGCUUCGUUACGCCAAACUAAACUACAAUAUAGACUCCUUAUCCUUGAUGUCUUUCUCAUUUCGUUAUGAAAAUUAGAUAAUUGACUGAGUAUGCUAACUACUUCACAAGCUAGAUCGCAUAAAAAAAAUAAAAAUUCAUAAAACUUAAAGGAGUAAAUGAACAUUAAGAUACAGUAAAGUGAUGGUUUUACCUAAGUACAACAAAUAAGAAGUAGGCGUGGCAUUAUUUUUUGUGCAAAAGGGUAAAAACUUUUAUAAUGAAAGUGUUACAAUUCAAGAGAUGAAUGGUAGUAUUAAAAGAAAGAGUGUAAGUGAGAGAUUCCGAAUUCGAAACCUCGCACUUACACUAAAAAAAAAGAUAGUAAUUUUAAAAGUUUAGUAUUAGGUCCUCUUCUUCUUCUUCUUUUUUUUUGUGCUUAUCUUUUGCCUUUACAACACUCAAUAGAAAAAUCUUAUUAUUCUACCGUCUUUACGUAAGAAGCAAUAAUAUAGAGUCAAUUUCUUUGCAUCCAGUGAAAGGAUAAGGAGAUAAAGUCAAUUGAGGAGGCUAAUUACGAUAAUAUGUCAAGCUCAAUAAAAAUGCCAUGAAACAUAUGAUAAGAGUUGUUGUCAAGAAAUUAUACAAAAAGAUACUGAGGGAAGCCCAAAGCCCGUGAAAAGAAUAUAAAAAAUAAAAGAUUGUGAAUAUAUCAAAUAAAAUUGCGGUCCAUGGGCACGAAAUAAGUUGAGUACAAAUUUUGGCAUGAUCGAUUCAUAAAUUUCUGCUGAAAGAUUGUCUCCUGAAUUAUUUGUGGACAUCGAUUGUGAUGGCUCGGAAAACUUAGUUUCCUCUAAUUCAACAAAUUAGUUAUAUGUUGAUUUAUUUGAUCGAUUCAUAGCUUGCUUUAUCAGUUACCUUUGAUUCAAAAGUCAGUCCAGUGUUUGCAGUACUUACUUAUAAGAAUGUGGUUUAAUAAUUUUGCAGAGUAAAAUUUAGAGAGGUUUCGAGGGCUUAGUUGACGAAAAACAAAUAUAUGGAAGGCCAAGCUAAGAAUCAGGGCCUGACAGAUAUUAUUACACUAUGAGGUCUCAUUUCGAUUUACUCUAGCAUUUAUUUAUUUUUUGAAUAAUUGAAAUGGAAUUCAUAUAUAUUCAUUCUUAAGAAAUUGUUCUGAUCUUGCCCCCUUCCUACCUAGUACUGUAUUAUUUUUUCUUGACAAGGCGCACAAAUAAGUAAGACAUUUUAUUUUAGUUGUCAUGAAUUAGGAAAAGAGCUUUUUUUCUUGAAAUUCAUUUUUUAAUGUUUCUUGAUUUUUGUCUCCUACCAAAAAAAAAAAAAAAAAGUAUUUGUCCUUUUGGUUUCUCAUAUUUUUGCAACUUUUGCAGGUAUGUAUCAACAAAUUGUAAUUGGGAUAUAUGUGUGUGUUUGUGUGUGCGUGCACGCAUGUGUAAGUGUAUGUAUGUACAUACAUGUGCAUAUGUAUAUAUAUGUACAUACAUACAUAUAUACAUACAUAUAUAUGUGUAUAUAUAUGUGUGUGUAUGUAUAUAUAUAUGUAUACAUACAUCACGCACACGCAUAUAUAUAUAUGUGUGUGUGUGCGCGCGCGCGCUUAUGUAUAUAUAUGUAUGUACGUACAUACGUACGUUCAACAAGGAUUUUCAGCCAACUCAUUGCUAUGUGUACUAGCCACAAAGGUAUGCCUAACAACUACCAUUUAAUUGUUGGAUACAUUAAUUAAUCUGAAGGACAAACCUGCAAGGCUGUUGGAUCUCAUUAAUUAAAUAAGAGCCCAGUGCACAUCUUGGUCAUUAUGACCAGUUAAUGGCAAUAAGGUUGUACUCUCUCUCUUGCCGAAGAGUGGCCAAAAUGCCAAAUCGAAGAGGCGCCUUAAUGUUUAUCACUACAAACUUACAAAAAUUAUUUUGGGUUUCUACAGGAAAAUUCUGUUGAAAGGCAAAAAGUUCAACCGACAGAAAAUUGUGUGGAUUAUUAAAUCUUAAUGCACAAUAACUUUUGCGAGAAUCUUAAGCCUAAUUAAUACUCCCUCCAUUCCUUAUUAGAUGUCCUAAUCCAGUGUUUCUUUUUAUCUGUCAUUUUAUGAUAUCAAGAAAGCAUUUAUAAACUUUUUUUCAAAUUUAUCCUUGUUUACCCUUUCAACUUUCUUGAAUUGGAACUCUAAAUAAUUAAAUGCAGUAUUUGUAGUAUUAACAAUAGAAGUAGUUGAAGAGAUGAAGAAUUAAAUUGAAAUGUGUCUAUUAAUUAGGUAUAGUUGAAGAGAGAUAAAGGGUAAUUUUGAGAAGUAAAAUAAAACUUUUGUUGACUUUUAGAAAAUAACCAACUUUCUUAAUCUAAGAGAAUUAGUUAUUCAGGCCAUCUAAUAAGGAACGGAGGGAGUAACUCGUAAUCCACCAUAAGCCGUGAAGAUUGCUGCGGCCAAUGCGAUAGGGAAAAAAAAAAAAAAAAAAGAAACUCGUUUUCCAGUCACCUUCGUGCACUUCAAUCCUGUUAACUUUCUCAUUCACAAGAUCUGGGAGUUGGUGUGCUUUAGCGCCAAAGCUAUGGAAGAACUCAUUAGCAUCAGACAUCAGCCUGAAUUCAGCCUCCAACUUACCUACUAAUUUACUAGUCAUAGUAGAGAGUUCCAAGAAUUGAUCAAACCGAAAAAAAGAAGAAGAAGAAGGAGAAGGAGAAGAAAAGCCCUACUAAUAACCUUGAACAAUACUAUGUUUCAUGCAACUCAGCCACUUGACUACCUGAUCUAUAGAUGCUUCAUUAAUUGGUUGGCUCCCACAAGUUACAAAUGUGUGGUUCUCUUUUCUUUUAGCUGCAAAAUAUGCGUGUAAUCGUGAACAUGAAUGCAUGUUGCAAUAUCUUCUCAUGCAAAUGAUAUACUGCUGCGUUUAGCCAAUACUGUCACACUUGAUUAUUAGUUAAAUUGGUAAAUGCUCCACUUCUGUCUCCAACGGGGAAUUCAAUGGGAAAUAAUGAUGUGGGGUAUAUUUCUUUUUUUAGGGGCGGGUUAUACAUUUUUAUCUAAUCCUUAUCCAUAGCAAGCUGAAAUCAAAAUUGCUCUACAUUUCAAUUGAAGUCCAUGAUAAUUAUUUGGACAAGUUUGAUUUGUUUUGUAUAUGCUUAGGACAACAUGCCAAGAAUCGACCAAAAGCAGACUCACAGAACACUAGCGUAGCUUAAAGGACAAUUUCGAUUUUGGAUAGGUAAUGUUUUGAUAGAUUUUCAGCUUGCACUUUAAACUUCUAUUUUAAAGUCUUUUAGUUUUAUGAAUACACUUUUUUUUCUGUAAUCUAUCUGUAAUCAAAAUAUGUAGUGGGCUUUGAGUAUUCCUAAGAAGAAGCGAAAUUCGCUUUUGCAACAGAAGUAAAAUUAAGAAGUGAUAUUGUUAUUUAAAUUUAUAUAUUUGUUGUGCAGGUGCGUACAUUUAUUGUUCCUAUGCAUACAUUGUAGAGUACAAUUGUAACUAACAUUGUGGAGAUGCUACACGCCAAUGUUGUACUUUCUGCUGGUUUAGUUCACCUCUUUGGGACAUUUAGCAAGAAGUCAGAAUAUGAUAAACAAGUGUGUGUGAUACAGCAAAAUUUUAUUAAAUUACAUGACGAAAUUGUGAUCUAACUGAAGUUUUGCUCAUGUUCCUUCGUUAGAAAAUCAAUUAACGUGUUUGUUAUCACAAGAUUACUUAUGCAAUUUAGAGAUCCUCUUUUGAUUAAGAAACCAAAAGAGAUAUUUAAAGAGAGGAAACUAGAGAGAUCCUUGAAAUUUGAAGGUUCAAAACGGUGAACCGAUGCACUUAGCAUUUAUAUCUUCAUCAACUGAGAUAGAUAUAAAGCCACCUAAACAUUCAUUGAUCUUUGCCUUCAAAAUUCGAAAUUCACUAAUUAGAUUGAUCUUUUCUACGCAGCAUAUAAUUGUAAUUACACAUGCAAUUCGAAAUUCAAGUUACUUGUAUCAAAAGAAUUUUGCUAGUUCAUCUAUGAUGAUAGGAUACCUAAAUCAAAAACUGCAUGAAUGAAAAGUUAUAGGAUGGUACCAGUGAAUGUCGCUUGUUUUGUGGAGUUCUAAACCUUGAGGUGGGUUGGAAUUUAUUGCAGCCAACUUUGAUCCUAUGGGGGGUGGAUAAAAAUCAGACUUUUCCAAUAGAACUGGCUCACACAUUAAAAGGGUGUGAUCCCUUUUCCCUCUUGCCUGUUGCAAUAUGAUUAACUUCCAGUGCGUUUAGGAAAACAUUAGUAUAAAGGAGUGAAAGAACGCCUGAAAUUUGCAAUGACAAAACUGUAUGGACAUUAUUUGUGCAGACAUUUGAGAGAGAAUGCUGAGCUGAUAAUCCUUGAUGGAGCAGGGCAUUCAUGGGCUUAUGAAAAUCUGAGUUUUAUAAGCACCUAAAAACCUUUCUCAUAGGCUGAAUCAACCAACCGACUUAAGGCACUUCAAUCUUUCCUCUUCAACUCAAAGAAGAAAUUUGUCGUUCAACUCAAUUUUCGAGCUAAAAACGUAGGGGAAAGCCUCUAAUCAAUUGAAUUUGUAGGUACACUUGGUUUCGUAGAAUAAAUAACUGACAAUGAUGGUUAAUAAUUCUUUCAACAAUGUUCCAUUCAUGAUGUAUCUCUGCUCAAGCUAUUGCAGAUCAUACAAAUUCCACUUGUGGAAGGAAGACGGGAAAAUUAAACCAUGUUCAUGGCUGGCCACUAAAUCCCUUGUUAAUGACUUCUAAUCAACUACUACUAUUUCAAAGACACCAUAUAUAAGACGACCAAAAUUCAGCUAAACACAUACCGUUCUGGGUAAAAGAUGUCAUGGCCCUCAAAUGACCUAAUCAGCCUAAAUUCAAGAGUACCUAUUAUGAAACGGACCAUAUGCCCAAUUGUUUCACAUCCUAAACUAUCAAAGUAAAAGUAUAUUGAGACAAGAAAAAAAGAAAAAAAAAAGAAUAGACAAACUUUGCUCCCUUUAUUUUCAAAAUAUUCAACCUGUAAGCACUAAUCAAACUGAAUAGUCUCAAAAGCUUAACUCAAUCAUAUAAUGAUCACACAGAAUAGCGAAAAAGAAAGGAGAAGAAGUACUCUGGUUGCAGACUCCUAAUUUGGUUGUUGGAGAAGGGGCGGUAGUAGUGGUUUUUAACUGAGAAUGAUAGAGACUGAGGUUUGAGAGUCUGAGAGUGUAGACUUACGGUUUAGUUCUUUUAUCCUUCAAAAAAAGGGUUUAGUUCUUUAUCCUUCAAAAAAAGGGUUUAUUCUUUUAGGAGUUUUAUUUUUAAAAUUUUUAACGGGAUCAAAUUGACUGCAAUGCCAAGAAACUAGCUGUACUACAAAAGUUAAGGGUAGAAAUUUCUCAAUAAGUUCUGAACACUUAUGUGUUUUAAGUCUUUAAUAUUUACACUAGCGCUCGAUAGCACACUAUAUUCCUACUUGCACUCGAGUCGUUACAACAAUCGAACAUGUUUGAAAUUGAUUCAAACACGAUCAAAGUCGAAACAAGACAAUCCAUUGAUCAAGCAGCUUCAUAUGUGCACCCGAGUUGCUCGAUUCGCAUACAUCCCUAUCGCAAAAUCAUAGUAAUUGAACCUUCAACAUCGAGUAUAGGAUUGGCCUUUGUUAUUCACCUAAUGCUCAAGUACAUAGCCUGACAGAGCCGGCAUUCUUCCAAUCACCUUGAUGAACAUCAAUGCCAUGGACUUUCUCGGAACACAGAUUUGGAAGUUGGUCUGCUUUACAACCAAAGCUAUUGAAGAACUCAUCAGGAUCAGACUUGGAUCUUUAUCUCAGCCUCCAACUUUUCUGCUGUAUUAGCCAUAGUUUUUUCUAGCUCUACUAGUCAAAAAGCUACUGAUUUUCAGCUCACCUUCACCUAGUAGAAUGCAAAUGCUAACGUAUAUGUACUUUAACCAUCGGACCACCGCUUAUAUAGGAUCAGUUCCAUUUUUCCGUACAUUUGUGAUGGUUUGUACUAAUAUCUUUGCUUUUUAUCAAUUCUGUUUUAGGUUUAUGUAGUUAUACCGCUCAUACCUAUGCUUAAAUUUCAAUAUACUAAUUGGGCUUAAGUAGCAAAGUUUUGAAAUUUAAUUUAAAAAGAAAAAAAAACCUGGCUACAUUAUUUUUGGAUUAGGUCAGGAAAUUUGCCUUGCUAUUCUUCUUUAUCAUAGUCAAGACAAAAUUUCUGUUGUUAGACUAUUACCAGGAUUAGGUUAAUUAUCUAUGUCUUUUGAUGCAAUAUCGAGAGGCAACAUGUCCCAGAUUAAAAUUAAGGGGCAGAUAAAAUGUCAUAUUAAUCCAAGAAAACCCAACUGCAACCAGAACUAGAUUUCAUGCUUUGCUUUAUGGCCAUCACCUAAGACGAGUGGGUUAGAAAGAUUUGUUUGCUUGAUAUGUUAUAAUACAGGCUUCGUUAAUAAGUUAUUAAUGCGAAUAUGCAAAACAAAUGGUUACAUUAUAGAUUCCUGUGCUUUGUGUUAAAGCUUCUUUUUUUUUUUUGGCAACAAAUUUUUGGACUGCACGGAUCAUUCCUUGCUGCUUUUAGAUUUCAAAACAGAAGCUACAAAGUACAGAACAUUUUCAGUUUUAGAAAUGCACCUCGGUUUUUCAAAAGGUGCAUUGACUACUGUAAAGAAUAGUUUCAGCUCCCUGAGAUCGAUGCCAGCAAGAUAGUUAAAUCAGCAGUGAUAAAUGUUAUGCAAUGAACCACUGUUAUAUAAAGGAAGCAUGCUGCGAUAAUGAUACCCCAUGAGGAAAAACAGAAACCCUAAUAAUCAUAGCGAUGAUAGUAACACUAAACCUAGAGUUAUGAACUAGUUCUUCGAGUUAAUUAAGAAUUUCUUGGUCCCAUCUAGGGGUGUAAACGAGCCGAAUUCGAGUUAAUUUUAUGAAGCUCGAAUUUUAUGAAACUCGAACUCGAGUUCGAACUCGAGCUCGACGAGCUCAAAAUAUCAAGCUCGAGUCGAGCUCGAGCUUAAAAAAUAAAAAAAUAAUUAUUAUUAUUUUAAAAAUAAAAAAUUAUUAUUAUUAUUAUUAUUAAAAAAUAAUUUUUUAAAAAAUUAUUAUUAUUAUUUUAUCAAGCUCGAGCUCGAGCUUAAAAAAUAAAAAAUUAUUAUUAUUAUUAUUUUAUUUUAUUUUUAAAAAAUAAAAAAUAAUUAUUUAUUUUAAAAAAUGAAUAAAACAAUAAUAUUUUAACAAAUAAUAAAAUAUUAGGAAUAUAUAUGUAAUUUUACUAUUAAAAUAAAAAAUAAAAAUAAAUAUAUAAUUGAGACUCGCGAGUCAACGAGUUUAAUGUUUUUGAACUCGAAUUCGAGCUCGAGAUCGAUUUAAUUAGUUCAAGCUCGACUCGAACUCGAUAUUGAUGAGCUCGAGUCGAGCUCGUAUUCGCUCGAUUCGCGAAACACCCCUAGUCCUUUCUUUGUAGUCAAGUCAUCCAAACAAAAUCGUAUUCCCUCGUUUAUUCCAAUUGUACCAAGAGACCAUUAUUUGGCGAAAAAGACAACAGAGAAAACAUGUCAGAUAUAAUCAUAUAAUCAGUGCUCCCAUAGCCAAAAUGCGCAGGAUUAGAUGUAGUUGGGUAUUAAUGGAUCAAAAUUCUUGACGUCUUCACUUGAGGAGAAGACGACAAACUGAAUUUAACUCGAAAAACUCGAAAAAAAUAAUAAUAAAAUUGCGUUUAAAAGAGCUGCAAUGAAUUUAGUUAGGAAUAUGGAAUUAACCUAUCUGGAGAAAGAUGGACAACAUUAAGCAAACAACAUGCGUUUGAAAACGACUCAGCAUUGAUGAAAGGGUUAAAUGCAAAAUACCCCCGCCAAUUAUACACCUAGUUGCAGUUUACCCCAUAAACUAUAAUAAUAGGCAUUUUGCCUCCUUGAAUGAUAUGUUUGGACAAAUCUAUCCCUUUUAUUUUAAACAUUGUUAUUUUUCUUUUUUCCCUAUCUUUUUCUUUUUAAAUUCUUCCUUUUUUUUUCUUUAAACAUUGUUUAAAUAAGUAGACUAGAUUAGUCAAAAUUUGUUUAUUUCUUAAUUUCAUAUGUCAAUAUUUUAUAAAAAAAAAUUUAUGGAAUACAAGAUUUUUUUUCCAAAUGUUGAAGUCAAUGUCAUUUAGGAAAUUGAACUUUUCAAAUAUAUAAUAACAAAAUAGAGAAAUUGAUUAAUCAAUUAGUAGUAGUAUCAAUAACAAAAAAAAUGAACUACUAUUGUUGUUUAUUCUUAUUUUUUAUUUCACUACAAAUAACAAUUGCUAACUUUUCUUUUUUAUGUGAUAUAUAAUAUGUUACUUUUAUUAUAAGUAGUUGAGUAACUGUGAACUCUUAAUUAGUUUAUAGGCACUUAAAUUGUUGAAUUACUAGAUUAAUACACUUUACAAUAUAAGCUACAUAUAUUUUGUAAUAACAAAGAGUUUAUGACAAAUUAUUAAGAAUGAAUUUAACAAAUAAACAAAUUAAAAAAGCAGUUUAAAGAAUAUUAAAAUUUUUUAUGUAAGUCCUUUCACAUCGGAGAGAGACAUUGGCUAGUUCCACGAAAGAAGGAGAAAAUAAAGAAAAAAAAAGGAAAAAAUGAAAUAGAGAAAAAAAAAAAAAAAAAAGGAUUUCAGAUAGUAGGGAUAGUAUUGUCCAAACAUAUCAUUCAGGGAGGCAAAAUGAUUAUUAUUAUAGUUUAGGGGUAAAAUGCAACUUGAUAUAUAAUUUGUGGGGGUUUUUUGCAUUUAACCCUUGAUGAAAAGACUAAUAAAGUCAACAGUAUGCCCCCACAAAAUUCAAUUUCCAAGUCACCAUUCCAACCACUUCCUUGACUAAUCCUAAACUUGGAGAUUGAGCUCCAAAAAAAAGUUUAUUCAAAGGCAAUACGAUUUGGGAAUUGCAAUGGGAAGCAAGUCGUUAAAUGAAGUAAUCAAACAUCACUUAGUAAAGGCUUACUAAACUAGUUAAUAAAGAUGUUGUUGGGCUGCUGUAUUUACCAUGAAUUGAUUUAAAGAUGAAAGUUCAGGAUCUUUAACAUGGAAUAUGGUGAUUUUUCUCCAAUUCCUCCUGGCUUUCUCUUUCUCUUUUAUUCAGGUCUCCCCGGCAGGAAAACAGAUACACACACACACACACACAUAUAUAGACACAAGCAUUUGAAGGUUCAUUAUCGUGAACCAGUGCACCAAGCAUUUAUAUCUUCAUCAAGCCAAAAAAAAAAAAAAAAAGAAAGAAAGUUAAGAUAGAUAUAAAGCCACACGAAACAUUCAUUUUAUUUUUCGUCAUUACACGUAGAAUCGUUAACACAUACAAAUUACAACCAAGCACUAACAGGAGUAGAAUUGCUAACACUUAUACAAAUUACAACCAAUCACUAGCAGGAGUAGAAUUGCUAACACUUACACAAAUUACAACAAGCACUAACAGGACUAGAAUUGCUAACACUUAUACAAAUUACAACCAAUCACUAGCAGGAGUAGAAUCGCUAACACUUACACAAAUUACAAUCAAGCACUAACAGGAGAGCAAAUUUUUGGAGGCUUCACUAAGCCCAGACAAUGGAGUACAUUAAAGAUUCUCUUUCAUUCUUGUUUUUUUUUACUCCGGGUACCCCGGACCGAGGCAAUGAAGAUAAAUAUAUCACCCAUAGAAGAAUUAUAUGGUAC